Non-coding RNA from Myotis lucifugus (little brown bat), 79 nucleotides. The record is from Rfam. NCBI's taxonomy places the organism in Eukaryota, Metazoa, Chordata, Mammalia, Chiroptera, Vespertilionidae.
AGGCCCAAAGAGAGAGGCAGGGUCUGAUUCGCAGCUUCUGUGGCAGCUGUUGAUCAGCUGUUGCCUCUCUUUCUCUUCA